UACGGAGGGUGCAAGCGUUAUCCGGAUUCACUGGGUUUAAAGGGUGCGUAGGCGGGCAGGUAAGUCAGGUGGUGAAAAUCCUAGAGCUUAACUCUAGAACUGCCAUUUGAUACUAUCUGUCUUGAAUAUUUGUGGAGGUAAGCGGAAUAAUGUCAUGUAGCGGUGAAAUGCUUAGAUAUGACAUAGAACACCUAUUGCGAAGGCAGCUUACUACGCAUAUAUUGACGGCUGAGGCAACGGAAAAGCCGUGGGGGAUCAAACAGG
This 264-nucleotide ribosomal RNA is filed under the name uncultured bacterium. RNAcentral's name for it is "partial 16S ribosomal RNA". It matches the Rfam family "Bacterial small subunit ribosomal RNA", at positions 524 to 776 of the family's 1533-position model. The record is from RNAcentral.